GUGGGGAAUAUUCCGCAAUGGACGAAAGUCUGACGGAGCAACGCCGCGUGAGUGAUGAAGGUUUUCGGACUGUAAAGCUCUGUUGUUUAGGACGAAAGUGCCUGUUGCAAAUAGUUACAGGUAUUGACGGUACUGAACGAGGAAGCCACGGCUAACUACGUGCCAGCAGCCGCGGUAAUACGUAGGUGGCAAGCGUUGUCCGGAAUUAUUGGGCGUAAAGAGCAUGUAGGCGGGAAUCUAAGUCUGUUGUGAAAAUGCGGGGCUCAACCCCGUAUUGCGAUGGAAACUGGGUUUCUUGAGUGCAGGAGAGGAAAGGGGAAUUCCCAGUGUAGCGGUGAAAUGCGUAGAUAUUGGGAGGAACACCAGUGGCGAAGGCGACUUACUGGGCCGUAACUGACGCUGAGGCGCGAAAGCGUGGGGAGCGAACAGGAUUAGAAACCCGGGUAGUCC
Molecule: ribosomal RNA, 450 nt
Filed under: uncultured bacterium
Lineage: Bacteria
Description: partial 16S ribosomal RNA
Rfam family: Bacterial small subunit ribosomal RNA
Source: RNAcentral